UAAAUGGAAUCUUUUGUAUAAGUUUUAAAUUCUUAAUUUAAAUUAGGAUGAUAAUCCCCAUUUAA
RNAcentral lists this transfer RNA (65 nucleotides) under Amaga expatria. Its description in RNAcentral is "tRNA-Lys". The record is from RNAcentral. Lineage: Eukaryota; Metazoa; Platyhelminthes; Tricladida; Geoplanidae.